UUUGCACAUUGUUAGAGCUUGGAGUUGAGGCCACUGGCUGGCCUGUGGACUCCCAAGUGUAGGUAGUGUGCUACACGAGCAGCAAGAUUUUCGCUAACACUUCACUCUGGUCCAAUGGGUGGAGCUUGAUAGUAAUUCUUGCUACAAGU
This is a small nucleolar RNA of Fukomys damarensis (Damara mole-rat), 149 nucleotides long. NCBI's taxonomy places the organism in Eukaryota, Metazoa, Chordata, Mammalia, Rodentia, Bathyergidae. The record is from Ensembl.